GGAUACUGCGGGAAGAAGCAUUUGGGGGCAGGAGAUAAGGGUCAAAUGCGGUAGUACAAGAGCUGUCACAGAACACCCUUCCUGCCCCCACCCCUCACCCCCUGAUAUGACUGAUCUUUGGGUCUCCAUGGGGACAAGGAGAGAAAAGUCAUUGUCAGCUUGAGUGUCACACACUGCCUAUUUCCCAAGGACCUGCGCUCAUGCACGAGAACAGUGAGGAAAGCAAUGAAUAAACUCCUGAGGAGUUCACCCAGUCUUCUGUCCUGAGGAGUUCACCCAGUCUUCUGUCCUGAGGAGUUCACUCAGUCUUCUGUCCUGAGGAGUUCACCCAGUCUUCUGUUCUGAGGAGUUCACCCAGUCUUCUGUCCUGAGGAGUUCACCCAGUCUUCUGUCCUGAGGAGUUCACUCAGUCUUCUGUCCUGAGGAGUUCACCCAGUCUUCUGUUCUGAGGAGUUCACCCAGUCUUCUGUUCUGAGGAGUUCACCCAGUCUUCUGUCCUGAGGAGUUCACCCAGUCUUCUGUCCUGAGGAGUUCACUCAGUCUUCUGUCCUGAGGAGUUCACCCAGUCUUCUGUUCUGAGGAGUUCACCCAGUCUUCUGUCCUGAGGAGUUCACCCAGUCUUCUGUUCUGAGUUCCAGGGACAGAAGCAGCCAGCUGUUUCCAGGAUGAGUGGCUGGGCUGGGGGUAGGGAAAGGGACAUCAGAUGGGAAGCUGUUCCAGUCACCACCACCCACAAGCCACAGCUGAUGAAGUCAUUACCGGGGACAACAAUAUUGACUUCCGGGAAGACAGAACGUAUGGUCUGUUGAAGCAGCUGGUAGCCCAUGGCGUGCUCAUCAGAGGGGCUGACAGGAAGGGGAUCAAAAGAUCUCAGCACAUGCAACUGGACUCGGUCAUCAGCCACGAUGUUCUUGACAAGCUCCAGGACCUUCAGGGAGGAAACCAAGACGGUUACAGUUGCAUUGACCUGCUAUCUAAGCACCAAACUCAGAUCUUUUGUUUUAGCAGGUAGCACUCUGGAGUUUAGAGAAAAGAAUGUUUGUUUUUGCAGUGGGACCCCAACUUUUACUGCCUGGCUGUGAGUGAUGUAAGAGCUGGCAUUUCCUAGAAAGCAUGGCAGAAUUCAGCUAAGCGUUUGGGAGGAUUGUGUUACAGCUCUAAGUCAGACGGGGAAUUGGAUAAUCCGGAACUUGUGUUGUGGUCCCCCCACCCACCCUGGGUUGUGAGCCAUGGGAUUAGGUAAAGUAUCAGAGAUACUAGGAUGAGAAUCUCAGCUGUCUCAAUAGGAUGAUCCUGUUCCAACCUGAGAGACAGCCUUGGGGUGGUGACACAGGUUGCAAAAGACCUUACCACACAGUUUUCUUUCUCCUCUCGAGCUGUUACCUAUUUGUAACCAAAUACACUGAGCCAGAAAGAUGAGCUCAGCAUGCACACAAAGUCAGGAGUGUGGUGCCGUGACUGGAGGUUUUCCCUUUGCCUCUUUUUAUUGAGAAAGACUAUGAGGAAAUUCCCAGAAAAUCGAGCCUGAGGUGACUAGGGGGAAAUCCAAUGAAAUCCCUGGUUCCAGGAAGGAUACAGACCAGACCCGGAGGCUCAGGUCACUUGAGAGAACAGACCAGGAGCAUUACAGUGGUCCCCCCAACCUAGUCAGCUCCACAAGGGAAAGCUCAAUAUCAACCAUUUGACCAGUGCUUAUUAGUUUGAAGCUGCUUCUGCCUGGGAAGGGCUGGGUUGCACAGCUGGCAAUCACCAGAACGGGGGCAUUAUUUGGAGUGCUCAUUUUAGGCCAAUGGCCCCUAGAAGGGUGGCAGAGAUGAAACCGGGGGAGGAGACAGUGAAGGCUCCCACCUCUAGCUUAGAAACUCCAUCAGAAUCAAAGCAAAUGCCCAUGGGGAAUGGAUGAAGAUUAUAAGAACUCAUUUUUAAUCACCCUAUCACUAGUACCCCCAACACUGUCAAUACCAAAUUCACCGUGGGUAUGGCUCAAUGGCAGAAUGCUUGCCUACCAUGCAUAAGGCCCUAGGUUCAAGCCCCAGUACCUUAGUAAAAGUAUCUGUAGUCUUCACACAUCGCUUUACCCAGGAAAAGGCUCCUGGGUCACCACCUAUGCAGUAGAUAGGGACUGUGCCUGCUGUGUCUUGCUUGGGUCCCUGCAGAGCUUUCUGCAUCUGGAAACUGAAGGCCAUAUGACAACUGGCUCUGUUUAGUGAGAGGUGGGGCCUGCUUCAAAGGCAGGGACUGUGUCAGCCUCAUUCCCUUAUCUAGAGUAGUGAGCAAGUAAGAAGUAAUAAAUGCUGGCUACUUUAGCUGUAAGGGAUAAGAACCAACAGAAACGAUAACAGGCACUGUUCCCCUAGGUACCUUGCCCGUCGUAUACAGUUAGAAGUGCUGGGCUGAGUGUCUGUUGGACUACCUAAGGAUGGUGCUUUACUGAGUCCAACCGGAAGAGGAGGUGCGGCUCAGAAAAGCAUUCAUCUUAGGUGUGCAGUUUGGAGUCAGGAAUUUCGGGUCUGAAGAGAGGAUACGGUCCUGGUAGAGAAGAGGCAAACAGGUAUUCCUAAGGUGGAGAGGGAUGGGCAACAAACACAAAAAAUAAAAAAAGAGCCAUGA
Molecule: long non-coding RNA, 2610 nt
Organism: Mesocricetus auratus (golden hamster)
Lineage: Eukaryota; Metazoa; Chordata; Mammalia; Rodentia; Cricetidae
Exons: 2
Source: RefSeq, a predicted model, not a curated record